ACGGAAGGCAGCAGUGAGGAAUAUUGGUCAAUGGACGGAAGUCUGAACCAGCCAAGUCGCGUGAAGGAUGAAGGUAUUAUGUAUUGUAAACUUCUUUAGCAGUGGAGUAAUAAGGGGAUCGCGAUCCCUGAUGCAAGUACACUGAGAAUAAGGAUCGGCUAACUCCGUGCCAGCAGCCGCGGUAAUACGGAGGAUCCGAGCGUUAUCCGGAUUUAUUGGGUUUAAAGGGUGCGCAGGCGGAGAUGCAAGCCAGCCGUAAAAUCGUGGGGCUCAACCCCAUUCAGCGGUUGGAACUUCAUCCCUUGAUUGCGGCAGAGGGAGGUGGAACUCGUGGUGUAGCGGUGAAAUGCAUAGAUAUCACGAAGAACUCCGAUUGCGAAGGCAGCCUCCUGGACCGUAAAUGACGCUCAUGCACGAAGGCGCGGGUAUCAAACAGGAUUAGAUACCCUGGUA
RNAcentral lists this ribosomal RNA (453 nucleotides) under uncultured Proteiniphilum sp. RNAcentral describes it as "partial 16S ribosomal RNA". It matches the Rfam family "Bacterial small subunit ribosomal RNA", at positions 341 to 792 of the family's 1533-position model. Lineage: Bacteria; Pseudomonadati; Bacteroidota; Bacteroidia; Bacteroidales; Dysgonomonadaceae. The record is from RNAcentral.